UCUGGUCAUGAAGCGUUUCUGUACCAGACUGUUUCGCGAUAUUCUCUCUAUGACUUAGAAUCUUUUUUCAUACUAGGUGUUUAUCAUCUAAAUCUCUCGUAAGUAAUGUAAUUUAAAUAAAUAACUUAACCUUUUUAUCUUUUUAUUUUUAGUCUUAAAUAUUCAUAAAAUAUUAAGACGUUUAAAAUUUUUUAUUUUGUAUUUUGUGAGUUGUUCCAAUUAAGAAUUUUUUUAAAUUCUUCAAUUGGAGUGUCUAUUUAAUAAGUGCAUUUCGAAAAUCUACCUUAGCACAUCUAGCGGUUGAAACUGUUGUAAUACAAUAGUUUGUGACGUGUCACUAAGGAGAUCGUAGAAUGUAUCUUAAAUUUAAAUAGAUACGUGUUUGAUUGAUUGCACAAGAUACUGAUGGUUUAUUGAAAUCAUUACCCUAGCACAUCUAGCAGUUGAAAUUAUUGGUAAAACAAUAGUUUGUGACGUGUCACUAGGGAUUGAUUCUCAUAUUCCAUUACGUUCUUUUCGGCAAGCAGUUUUUGACUCUGUAAGGUCCGUGCAUCGACGAGAGUAAUCUCCGAUGGUGUAGCCAGCCUGUCUCUAACUCUGUCGACUCUCAUAUCAAACACACAAUUUCAUAAAAUAUUGAUAGUUUGUUGAAGUCAUUACCCUAGCACAUCUAGCGGUUAAAACUAUUCGUAAAAAAAUAGUUUAUAACGUGUCACUAGGGAUUGGCUCUCAUAACCUAUCUGGUUAUUUAAAUAUUCAUUUUAAAAUAUAAAGUAACACAUAUACUCAGACACCAAGCAUAGAAAGGAACCACAGUGAAGUAAUAUUUCAAGUUUAGUAAUUUACAUAAUUUUACAAAAUAAAUAAAUAGAUAAAAGUCAGUGCUCUUUUUAUUUAUAUCAUUUUUACAACAAACGAUCAAGCUAGCUGGACACAAGAAUGUGAUGCACUACCUUGUGAAAAUAUGCCAAAUGUCGUUAUAAUCUAACUAUAUGAGUAGCCUACGCUGGUUAAACAAGUAAUACUAUAUGCGUUACGUCGUGUAGCUUAAUCUGUGAAUAUUGUGCAAAUACCUCUCAAAAUUCAUGACCUUCACAAAAGUUUUCUUCAGAGAUACUUUUGUCUAGGCGUAUGACUCCAAUACUGUAUAUUGCUAGGAAAAUUCGCAAAGUAGUCGUGUUCGGUAAGUGAGGCAAGUGUUGGCGCUAUUAACCUAAUCAAACGUGGUUUAAACACGGUUAGCACCAAUAAAGUUGAUUCUAAGAAUGCCGGAAAACAUUUUGGACAAAGUUUUCCCGAACUUGACUGGAUGAAAAUUGCGUAAGUUAUUAUCGCCAGAAGCAGAAACAAGUACAAUAAGGGGACCAGUGUAGUGUAGUGGAAAGCAUUCGAAAACAUUGAGUUUCCUGACUGCUGACGUAUAAGGAUAAGGACUUAAAGCGAGUUUAUGUUUGAAGUUGGCGGACCGAGUGACUUUACAACGAUGACUUCGGGUGAGUUGCAAUCCAUGUUGCUAGUUUAAGAUUGGGGUCAUUAGAAAUUUAUUUAACGUCGGAUUUAGUGAAUGUAGGAUUUUUUGUGAAAAGGACUAGCUGAAGAUUUAGGACCUUGAUUGCUCUUAUCAGAAUUACACGAAUUAUCCGUGGAUAUUUGUGGGAUGGAAGUUUGCAAAGUGCUUCUACGACGCAGUGGUGCUGAUCACCUCCUUCAGGAUUAGGUCUUGAUUGCAUCCAGAGAAAAGGCGAAAUAAAUAUUAAAUAUGUAUCUAUGAAUUAUUACAUUGAUUAAUAAUGGUAUUUGUUCACGAUAAUUAUCAUUAUUAAUUUCCGACAUAAAGUCUUUCGUAUAACGAAAACGAACUGUUUCUU
This is a long non-coding RNA of Daktulosphaira vitifoliae (grape phylloxera), 1868 nucleotides long. RefSeq lists it as uncharacterized. Lineage: Eukaryota; Metazoa; Arthropoda; Insecta; Hemiptera; Phylloxeridae. The transcript is spliced from 3 exons. The record is from RefSeq and is a predicted model, not a curated record.